AAAAGGAAGGGAAAAUUGGUUUUCUCCAAAUAAUAAGCAUUAAAAAUAUAAAUAUUUUUUAUCUCGAGAAUUCGUGAGCAUUGCAGUUGGAAUAUAGGAUUCUAUCGCACAUCAACAGUUCUAAAUUGGCAAGGGAUAAAGAAUUUGAGAGCUAUUAAGAUGAUUAAAGAAGAUUUGUGCAUAUUGAGAUGGGGUAAAAAAGAUUGUAAGCUCCUGAUAGUGUUUGAGUCGAGAAUUCUAUUGCAGAUUGGCAGUGACAUAAUGGCAUGGGAUGAAAAGCUUGUGAGAUUGCUGAAGGGAGUUCAGACUUCAGUUACGGAUUGAGAGUAGUAAUGCACUGACACCAUCCGGAAGAGUUUUGUAAGCUACUGAGGAAGCUCAGAAGAACUGUAGUUCUGAAAUCAGAGUUUUUCUGACAGAUUCGCAAUGAUAUACUGACUUGAGAUAAAGAUAAAAAAAGAGAGUCUUUAAUCUACUGACAUAGCUAAAAAGGAUUACAGUUUUGUGUUCAGAUUGACAGUGUUUAUUUUGGCAUAGGUUCAGAAUUCUAUCAUAAUAAAUGUUCAUGUCAGGAUUCCUCCAGAUGUGGGAAAAGGAUCGGUUGCAGUCCAAUUCUGGUUGCCUCCAUCUUCAGGCGCUGUUUCUGGGAAACAGCUGAAUACUAUUGAGCAUGAGAUGUUGAUUUCCAGAUGUGGCAGCAAGUCCUGUCAGUAGCCAAUCACCCAUUGCUGCUGACUCACAGAAGCUUGAAGGGUUCCCCGAGAACAGAAGAGGCCAAUGUGAGCUUUCUCUGGUCUGGACAUGCUUUCCCGAGCAAGAAGAGGUUUCCUUCAACAUGCUUAGUGGGAAACCUCAUUUCAGAUGAUAAGCUUUUGCGUCAAGGAAGAGGAUUCAUAUGACAUUAACUUAGCAGCUUCAGGAACAGUGUUUCUCGAUAAGAACUCCACCACCAAUCCCUUUCAAGAACUGUGCAAGACAGGUUUAUACUUUCUCAGCUUUGGAUACUGAUAAGUCAAUAGGUGCAAGCACGAGAUCUCAUCUAUUGUCUUCUUGCAAAGAGAUAAGUGAUAAAUUAUUAAUUUUUCUUAUAAUUUUGAUUUUAU
Molecule: long non-coding RNA, 1103 nt
Filed under: Musa acuminata (dwarf banana)
Lineage: Eukaryota; Viridiplantae; Streptophyta; Magnoliopsida; Zingiberales; Musaceae
Description: long non-coding RNA (MACU_LNC002285)
Source: RNAcentral